AGGGUUCGAUUCUAGCUCAGGAUGAACGCUAGCUACAGGCUUAACACAUGCAAGUCGAGGGGCAGCAUUGGAGUAGCAAUACUUCAGAUGGCGACCGGCGCACGGGUGAGUAACACGUAUCCAACCUGCCGCUUACUCGGGGAUAGCCUUUCGAAAGAAAGAUUAAUACCCGAUGGUAUAAAGAGUUCGCAUGUUCUCUUUAUUAAAGAAUUUCGGUAAGCGAUGGGGAUGCGUUCCAUUAGAUAGUUGGCGGGGUAACGGCCCACCAAGUCUACGAUGGAUAGGGGUUCUGAGAGGAAGGUCCCCCACAUUGGAACUGAGACACGGUCCAAACUCCUACGGGAGGCAGCAGUGAGGAAUAUUGGUCAAUGGACGAGAGUCUGAACCAGCCAAGUAGCGUGAAGGAUGACUGCCCUAUGGGUUGUAAACUUCUUUUAUAAGGGAAUAAAGUGAGGGACGUGUCCCUUUUUGUAUGUACCUUAUGAAUAAGGAUCGGCUAACUCCGUGCCAGCAGCAGC
Molecule: ribosomal RNA, 518 nt
Filed under: uncultured bacterium
Lineage: Bacteria
Description: bacterial SSU rRNA
Rfam family: Bacterial small subunit ribosomal RNA
Source: RNAcentral